RNAcentral lists this ribosomal RNA (254 nucleotides) under uncultured bacterium. RNAcentral describes it as "partial 16S ribosomal RNA". It matches the Rfam family "Bacterial small subunit ribosomal RNA", at positions 524 to 776 of the family's 1533-position model. The record is from RNAcentral.
UACAGAGGUCUCGAGCGUUGUUCGGAUUCAUUGGGCGUAAAGGGUGCGUAGGUGGGCUCUUAAGUCGGUGGUGAAAUCCUGGAGCUCAACUCCAGAACUGCCUCCGAUACUGGGAGUCUUCGAGUCCGGGAGAGGUGAGUGGAACUGCGAGUGUAGAGGUGAAAUUCGUAGAUAUUCGCAAGGACACCAGUGGCGAAGGCGGCUCACUGGCCCGGUACUGACGCUGAGGUGCGAAAGCGUGGGGAGCAAACAGG